Molecule: RNA transcript, 1504 nt
Organism: Cydia pomonella (codling moth)
Lineage: Eukaryota; Metazoa; Arthropoda; Insecta; Lepidoptera; Tortricidae
Exons: 6
Source: RefSeq, a predicted model, not a curated record
ACUGUCGAACUGAUCUGAUGAUGGAGCCGGAAGAUAUGAACUGGAACGAUUUAUAAGACGUUAUCACGUCAAAAAUGAUUGUUCUUCAUUCGAAUGUGUGAACUAAACUCGGUUUUAAUCAACUCAUUUUAUGGUAAAACAUAUGUUCUUUCGCUUAUCACACGUUUGUUGUGACAGACAACAGACAACUGCGUGCCAAAAGUAUGUUUCUGACGGGCUUUCUACUACUGUCAUUAUAACAAUUACCUAAUGCUUGUACACUGUAUUUACUAUUUUAUUAACAUCCAAGCAAAACUCUCCGUUGACAUAGACUAGAUACAAUGUUUAGCCGUUACGUUGGUAAGCCUGGAAGAAUACUAUAUGAUAUAAAAGCCUAAUUUCUAGCUCGAUGUUGGAAAUAUAUAAAGUUUACUAUUACUGUUUCGUCCAGUAUUAUUGCAGUUUAGCAUUUAUCAGCUAUCGUGACCUAUUUUUAACGUAAAUAUUAUUUUAAAGCAAAAAACGUGAACAAUAUAACGGAAUAAACACACAUAGUAAGUUUGCCAUAUUUGGCCACGGCGCUGUGAUCGUUCCGGCUUCCCCCACCACCCGCUUUGCACGCUUCCAAGUGUUGUCAAAACUUUUUACUAAAAGUCAAACGGCCUGACAGCCAACUGUCAAUGCCGUAGAAAAUAUUAUGACUUGUUGAUAUUGGCUGUUUUUUUAAUUUCACUGUAACUCUUAAUUAUUACGAAGUAGUAGAAUUAAAGUAAUAUAGUAUUAUGGAUGUCGAAAAUGAGAGCGUAGGAACUUAUAUGUCAAAGGAGUCUUCCUUCGGAAAAGCGUUGGCUUCUUCAACAUUCAAUGCUCCUGCGCCAAUCCACAUGUUCAGCGAAUUUGGUGACGGAGAAUGCGGAGAACCCCUGGAAGCACAUCACCUCCACCUGGAUUUUACCCCUACGGACGAUGACGACGACUAUUCCCAGAAGAAAUGCUGCGAGUUCUGGAAGUACAUUGAAAGUAGAAGUGACUUAAAGGGCAUGAUGGUUCUGCCGGAAAAGACAAAAUCGACCCAGAGUACUGACACAGUCUCCGUCCACAAGCCAGUUAUGAAGGAGCGUGUGUCGAAGCCAAAGACAGCCGUCUCAAUGCUUCAAAUAGUCGAAGAGAAAGGUUUAAUAGAUCGAGCUUUCGAAGUAAAGAUGCAACAAUCGCGAUGCUCACUGGGUUCACAUGACUAUGAACUGAGUCCAAAGGCUAAACAAACAAGUGAGUUAGAGAGUGUCCUUGUCCCUAUCCCUGCGUGAAGUGCCCAAACGCUCCUAUCUCUACCGCCCGUGCACUUUGCGAGGAACUGGGGGCUUGGGAUGUUAAUCAUCCGAAGUCAAUGGAGCCGCCGAGCCAUCCCCCCUCCGUUUGAAAAGCUGUCAGCCAAGACCGAUGAAUUUAUUAACUACGAGUGCAUAUUUUCGUACGUAUUUUCUGUAAUUUUGUAACAUUUCUUCGCUAUUAAAAUCUGAUUAAA